CCCGGUCGGGGCCUGGGCUGCGGUGCUGAGCUUCCUCCCCGGGCCGCCCGCCGCUUUCGCGCAGCCGCGGCCCGGAGCUGGCGCGUUGUCCGCCCCCACGCCUGUAGCCUCGAGCUCUGGGAAAUCUCCCGCCCAGGCCGGGGCCCGGUGACAGAGAGAAUAGCAUAAUGGAGGAUGAUGUUUUACCCAGGAACUAACAGGACGUCCGGGAAAACCUGGCCCCAGACAGCGUUCAAGACCAUUCCCUUCUGCUUUUUUCCUGAGGGCAGAGAAUGCUGAUGCAGCAACAGUCACCUAAGGAAACAUUCCUCUCCAACGGCGUGGAUUUUUGGACACCUACACAUUGAGACAACUACUCAGCCAGGACGUGGGAUAGUCACUGAUAGGAUAUCACCCUUGGGGACAAAUACACUCUAGUUUCCAGUGGACGGUGGAAGAGGAAGGGGAUGAGGUGAAGAAAACUCUUCUUGGACAUUUAGCAUAGGGAAGGAGAGAAUGGGGGAGGGGUAGGAAGUGUGGUUCCUCCCCUUUCAUUUCAGAUCCUUCCAGUGUUUUUAUAUCUUCAACUUAAAAAAAAAUUCCCGAGUUUGAAUGGGAGAGGCGAGCAAACUCAAGGAAGGAAAAAGGUGUGAUGAGUAUAGGAGAGAGCCAAGGGAUCUGUUCAGGGAACUCCAGCUCUCCAGAGAUGCCCUCAGCCAUAGGUUUUAGCCUAGUGUAAGGGGAGCUGAUUGGGUACAUCUGCUGUGGCGGGAGAUCUGAAUUAAAAAAAAAAAAGACUCCAUGGCAUUAAAACAUUAAAAUAUACUCCCCUCCCCCAGCUGUCUCCUGUCCGGCAGAAUGGCAUUAUGUAAAAGAUCUGGCAUGUCACCCAGUGGCACAUCUGGUAGGUGUAGAUGGCAUUCAUUAGCACAGGGCUUCUACUCUGUAGCAUGCCAAAGCCCUGACAGAGAUACCCGCUGCCAAUCAUUCAUUCGUUGCCAAUCCCUGAGCGCGGCCGGGCGGGAUGGCUCCCUUCCACCCUGGCACCAGGACUGGAGGAAACAAUGUGUUGAGAUAUGAAGAGAUGAAAGCGGAGCUGAGGAUGCAAGGCACCCAACAGAUGUAUCCCGUGAGGAGAUAACGGUGCGAAGAGUCAUUUAGCAAGGAAGCAUAUGCAGGAUCUCAGGAGGGAGGCUCGGGCAGGGGUCUGCCUGACUAGGACUGAGCGGAGGGAGGGGCCGGGGAAUCCCUUCAGAAACCUCAAAGUUGAAGUUUCUUCUCUGAAUACAAAGACCACCCCCCAACCCUAAAUGUAAGACCCUCUCCCCAUCCUGUGUGUACUCUGUUCAUCUAACCAGCUCUGAAAAGAUGAACUCAGUCCUCCCUAAGGCUUUUGGUUACCAACAUAAAGAGAACCUUUAAAACCUGCUGUUUUUAAUGUUGCACCAUUCUCUUUGCCUUGUAAUUUGAGAGGGGAGGGAAGCU
Molecule: long non-coding RNA, 1464 nt
Organism: Prionailurus viverrinus (fishing cat)
Lineage: Eukaryota; Metazoa; Chordata; Mammalia; Carnivora; Felidae
Exons: 3
Source: RefSeq, a predicted model, not a curated record